AUAUAAACUCUCCACUCAUCUCAAAUCCUUAAGUUCAAGGAUAAGUUUCAAGAAAAUCAUGGUACUAAGUCUCGAUUUAUCUCUCAUAUAAGGCUCGUCCAAUCUCAUUCAACACAUAGACAACACAAUCACAUAAGGCAUAUAAGAAAACACAAUCAAACAUUAUCAAAACAUGCUCUGUUUUUACACUGACUCAACUUCAAAAUCUAACCUGUUCUUACUUCGACACCUCCUGGACUCGAGACUCAUA
This 250-nucleotide long non-coding RNA is filed under the name Salvia miltiorrhiza (redroot sage). RNAcentral describes it as "long non-coding RNA (SMIL_LNC002079)". Lineage: Eukaryota; Viridiplantae; Streptophyta; Magnoliopsida; Lamiales; Lamiaceae. The record is from RNAcentral.